Molecule: ribosomal RNA, 656 nt
Filed under: uncultured Vibrionaceae bacterium
Lineage: Bacteria; Pseudomonadati; Pseudomonadota; Gammaproteobacteria; Vibrionales; Vibrionaceae
Description: bacterial SSU rRNA
Rfam family: Bacterial small subunit ribosomal RNA
Source: RNAcentral
UAGAGUUUGAUCAUGGCUCAGAUUGAACGCUGGCGGCAGGCCUAACACAUGCAAGUCGAGCGGUAACACAAGGGAGCUUGCUCCUGAGGUGACGAGCGGCGGACGGGUGAGUAACGCCUAGGUAUCUGCCCAGUCGAGGGGAAUAACAGUUGGAAACGACUGCUAAUACCGCAUACGCCCUACGGGGGAAAGGAGGGGACCUUCGGGCCUUUCGCGAUUGGAUGAACCUAGGUGGGAUUAGCUAGUAGGUGGGGUAAUGGCUCACCUAGGCGACGAUCCCUAGCUGGUCUGAGAGGAUGAUCAGCCACACUGGAACUGAGACACGGUCCAGACUCCUACGGGAGGCAGCAGUGGGGAAUAUUGCACAAUGGGCGAAAGCCUGAUGCAGCCAUGCCGCGUGUAUGAAGAAGGCCUUCGGGUUGUAAAGUACUUUCAGCGAGGAGGAAAGCUCAAUUGUUAAUAGCAGUUGGGUGUGACGUUACUCGCAGAAGAAGCACCGGCUAACUUCGUGCCAGCAGCCGCGGUAAUACGAGGGGUGCAAGCGUUAAUCGGAAUUACUGGGCGUAAAGCGUACGCAGGCGGUUUGUUAAGCGAGAUGUGAAAGCCCCGGGCUCAACCUGGGAACUGCAUUUCGAACUGGCAAACUAGAGUCCUGU